Molecule: long non-coding RNA, 3249 nt
Organism: Mus musculus (house mouse)
Lineage: Eukaryota; Metazoa; Chordata; Mammalia; Rodentia; Muridae
Product: predicted gene, 52109
Exons: 2
Source: RefSeq, a predicted model, not a curated record
CCUAUGGGAAAGAAAAGACUGAUAAACAAAGCGAACGACUCAUAACUGCCACUACUGGACACUGACCAGCGCUCAGGGCACCUCAGUACCCUCCCAGGGAGCUCCCUCACCGUCCCCAGUACAGGCAGAGAACGUAUUACAGAACACUUGUAAAACUAUCAUAUGACACAAAACUACCUCUCCACCUCAGCCAUAGUUUUCAACAUUUUGAGAUUUGGUAUUUUGUAAGUAAUAUGUUUGUUACAGCAAUAUAAAAGUAAUAAUGGGCCCUUUUAAGAUUUGUAGUGAUUGAAGUCCUUACUACAUACAAGGAAACGUCAUAAUAAAACCACCAUGGCAAUAAAUUGCUACCAAGAAUAAAGCUGAAUUUGAGGGAGGUGGGUAGUUAAAUAUCUCUGCUUAGCUCAGCAUAACUGGUUACCUUUUGACAUCCUGGCACAAGCUAGGUGUGAUGGAUCUUGGUUGUCAACUUGACUAAUCUGGAAUUAACUAAAGCAAACGGUUGGACACAGCUGUGAGAGACUCUUACUUGAUUAAAUCAUUUGAAGUGAGAAGGUCCACCUUUUACCCAGAUCUGCUGAGGUGGGAAGAUUUACCUUUGACCUGGACCACAGCCUCUGCUGGAGCCGAUAUAAAGGAGAUGGAAGAAGAAAGCUUACUUCUUUGCCUACUUGAUCUUGCCUCACUACCAAGGCCAUUCCUUUACUGGCAUUAGAGUCUGCUUCAGGAUUCCAGUGUAUACUGGAGCCCAGCUGAGACAUGCAACCUCAUGGACUGAAUAACUACUGGAUUCUUGGACCUUUCAUUGGACAGGACAACCCGUGCCUGGAUUGCCAUCGAUGGAAUCCACCAUUCAGCUGCAGAGGAUGCUUGGCUUCCCUUCCAAAUUCCCCUCCUGAGGGAGCCUACUUGGAGACACAAACUGCUUUCCACAUCCAAGCAAUAUGGUGGAAUUGAAAUACAUAAAGUUAAUCUAGAGCUAGACGUUGGUUUCUGCAUAAGUAAAGAGCGAAAAUCAAAGUUCGAGGUGUUCCUUAACUCUUCUGGGUCUUCACUUCCUUUAGAGAUGAUGACCACAUUUUAAAAUUUAUCAUAGUACUCAUACAAUUAUAAAAAUUCAUAAAAUGUGCAAUUUUAUGGAUAAGAAAUCAUAACACCCACAUACUACUCAGGCCAAAACAUAGCGUGUUUCCCCAAAGCCCUCGAUAUGCGCACCUUCCACAAAAUGACUUCCUUUUCUGAUUCUGCACUUUGAAUGAAUCAAUCACAUGUGUGCUCCCUGUGUUUUCUACCACAUUCCAUAGGCUGUAUUCUGAGUGGCUUUCUCUGAUUGUCUGGUUUGAUUUUCUUCUUUUGUGGUAUACAAACUGCUAUAGAAUUUGUCCAGUCAAGGCUCACUUGACAAUAAUUGUUUACUGGGUCUUUUCCAAAUCUUCUAUGAUGUAGAUCUUUUUUCCUCUGCAGAUAUUUUCUUUUCUGCCAUCUUGUCUGAUAUUCUAACAGCUCAUGUUUACUAAUCACCUGUCCACUACUUCUACCAGGUCUCAUGUGUUUAGACUUUACAGGAAGUUGGCGUUUGGACUGAGCUCUGGUGCUGUCCCCAACCCAAGUGUGGCAGUGCUCACGCAUGCUCCUUUUCCACAUGAGCAAGCAAGGCUACGCUGUCAUCUGACCAGAGAGACCAAGACAGGGAAGAGCAGGAGCCACGUUCCCAAACAGAAGAGUGUCCGCCACCUGCAGACUUCAGUCCUUUCCGUACAAACCCCACCCCUCUGCUCAGCUGACAGAAGCAGGCACUUAAUGGAGAGAAGUACUGGCCGACUCUAAAUCAGCAAGGAAAGGCCACAAGGAUGUGUCUUUCACCACAGCCACGGUGCCUUAGUGCCCACAACUGCUUAUCUUAGAUCACAUGUGGCUUACUAACACUGAAAAGCUGCCUCUGAUGAUCCUUCCAGGCUUCCGUAGAGGCAACUCAUGCUACAAAGGAUCUGCAUGAAUCUCUAUCACACUCUUAAUAUACUUCAUGGCCUGAGACUCCCCAGACCAUUCAGUCUAAUGUGACACAGAUCUAUAGCUGCGAAUUCAGGGAUGGUUUUACUCAGUCUUCUCCUUUUCCUUCCUAGAAUUCACCAAGGAAAGUCUCCUGUUCAACCCUUAGGAAGAGGCCAAUCCUGUGCUGAGGGUCUGGCCUUGCAGUCCCAGGGUAUAGGAAAUCUCCUAUUCCACUCCAGCUACCUGUAACCUGUAACCCUCUACCUCAAGCGUACAAACCACAGCUCAGCAUCAGCUAGGCAGGUAGGUGUCUCAACAGCAGAACAGCCUAUAGGUCUCCUCUACCCUUACUUGACCCUAUCCUUACCUGACUUCACCUUUCCUUAACUGCUAAGCCAUCCCUCCAGCCUCAGGCUUGAGCUCGUUUUUUAACUAAGAAAUGGUCUGAAUAAUCGGGCCUAUCCUGGCAUCCCCUCCCAAGGUCCUGGAAUGUACAUCUCAAAGGCGUGAUUAAAUUCUGGUGACGUAGCCAAGAGACUGUUCUCGCUCCACUGCUAAGGCAAACUUCUCCUAUCAGCCACUACUUAAUGAAAGAAGCACAGACUGCUAAGAUUUAGAGGGCUGGCAAAAUGAACAUUUGGUCUCUCAGUUCCCAGCCCAGGAAUCUAAGUUCAAAGUGUAGGCUUCCUAAGCUCCAAAAUAAGUAGCGUUGUCACGCAAUGAUUCCACUCUGAGAACAGAAGGGCUUUGUGCAUCGUCUUGCAGCCGUUUAGGCCCCGUGUGUUACCUACCACCUUGCCCCAUUGCUCCAGAACCGUCCUGCUUCAUGUUGCCCAACGCGUGGCCAAGCUCACAGGGCAGAGCCAGCCACUCUUGCUCAAUCAGAGAGUUUGCUCUCAAUUUCAGGGCAUACUGGUCUUAUUUCUUAACAAAUAAGCAAUGCUUCAAACCUGUCCUUUGAGUUUCUGUUACCUGUUGUCGCAAGGACGAUAUGAGGGCCACUCCCAUAGCUGAGGCUGGCUAUUUUUUUGCCAGUUAGAGAAUCCAGUCUCCGAGGCUCAAUAGUGCUCUGAAUGUCGCCUACCCCCAGACAGCCACUGCAGUUUGUGCCAAGCACAAAAAUCUGUGGGAAAAAAAAAAAACAAACCAGGCAGUUCAAGGAACUCCAUUUCUGAGAAUUCUAUAAAUUACCUCAGGCAGCCUUCCUAAAGCAAACUGCCUCGUCACAGAAUAAAUAAAAAUUGACUUUCCAUACUU